This 236-nucleotide ribosomal RNA is filed under the name uncultured bacterium. RNAcentral describes it as "partial 16S ribosomal RNA". It matches the Rfam family "Bacterial small subunit ribosomal RNA", at positions 99 to 334 of the family's 1533-position model. The record is from RNAcentral.
CGAACGGUCGCGUAACACGUGGGCAACCUGCCCUGAAGUGGGGGAUAACGGGGGGAAACUUCCGCUAAUACCGCAUGUGUAUCGCCUCGGCAUCGGGGAGGAUACAAAGGAUUUAUUCGCUUCAGGAUGGGCCCGCGGCCUAUCAGCUAGUUGGUGGGGUAACGGCCUACCAAGGCGACGACGGGUAGCUGGUCUGAGAGGACGAUCAGCCGGAUUGGGACUGAGAUACGGCCCAG